GACGAACGCUGGCGGCGUGCUUAACACAUGCAAGUCGAACGGAAAGGCCCUGCUUUUGUGGGGUGCUCGAGUGGCGAACGGGUGAGUAACACGUGAGUAACCUGCCCUUGACUUUGGGAUAACUUCAGGAAACUGGGGCUAAUACCGGAAAGGAGCUCCGCCUGAAGGGGGGGGGUGGGAAAGUUUCGGCGGUUGGGGAUGGACUCGCGGCUUAUCAGCUUGUUGGUGGGGUAGUGGCUUACCAAGGCUUUGACGGGUAGCCGGCCUGAGAGGGUGACCGGCCACAUUGGGACUGAGAUACGGCCCAGACUCCUACGGGAGGCAGCAGUGGGGAAUAUUGCACAAUGGGCGGAAGCCUGAUGCAGCAACGCCGCGUGCGGGAUGACGGCCUUCGGGUUGUAAACCGCUUUCGCCUGUGACGAAGCGUGAGUGACGGUAAUGGGUAAAGAAGCACCGGCUAACUACGUG
This 468-nucleotide ribosomal RNA is filed under the name uncultured bacterium. RNAcentral describes it as "partial 16S ribosomal RNA". It matches the Rfam family "Bacterial small subunit ribosomal RNA", at positions 28 to 507 of the family's 1533-position model. The record is from RNAcentral.